RNAcentral lists this long non-coding RNA (784 nucleotides) under Ananas comosus (pineapple). RNAcentral's name for it is "long non-coding RNA (ACOM_LNC033027)". The record is from RNAcentral. Lineage: Eukaryota; Viridiplantae; Streptophyta; Magnoliopsida; Poales; Bromeliaceae.
GGGGGAGCGAAGAGAGAGGCCUCGAAAGAGGUGUACAGAGAGAAGUAUGGGCACCAUAGAGAGAAGAGAGAGAGAGGGGAUAGGGCAGUAAUCAGAGAAGAGAGGCAGGAAGAGGAGAGACUGAGAGAGAGAUAGAGGAUAGGGCAGGCAUCAGGAAAGAGAGGCAGGGAGAGAAGAGACGCCUCGAAAGAGGCGUAUACCGAGGAGAGAGAGCGCGAGAGAGAGAGAGGAUAGGGCAGUCAUUAGAAAAGAGAGGCAGGGUGAGUUGAGAGCGAGAGAGAGAUAGAGAAUAGGGUAGGCAUAAGAAAGAAAGGCAGGGAGAGGAAAGACGCCUUGAAAGAGGCGUAUACCGAGAAUAUAGAGCAAGAGAGAGAGAUAGGGAAGCAGAGAGAGACAUAUAGAUAGCGCCUAAAAGAAAAGGAAAAAAGGUUUAUACGACGUGGAGGUGGGAAAAGCCACCACGUAUACUGAGGAAACCGUCAAAUUAUGAAGUUGUAUGGAUACUUUUUUUUAUAUAUUUAUAAUUUUUCAAACAUUUUAUUUUUAUAAUUAUUUUUUCUUACUAUUCAAUCAACCAUUUAUUUAACCUUAUAAAACCACUAUCAUUCAAAUUAUAUAUUAUACAUUUCUUCACUCAACGGUAGAAAACUUAUGAUUAUAAAAAAAAAUAUUAAUUCUAACUAAAUUUUUAAUAUAAUAUAUUUUAAAAUAUACUAAAAAAUAAUUAUUUUCAGUUCGGAUUCUAAAUUCUUUGAUCAAAUUUGAUUUAAGUUAGAAAUUUUCA